This 253-nucleotide ribosomal RNA is filed under the name uncultured bacterium. Its description in RNAcentral is "partial 16S ribosomal RNA". It matches the Rfam family "Bacterial small subunit ribosomal RNA", at positions 524 to 776 of the family's 1533-position model. The record is from RNAcentral.
CACGUAGGGUGCGAGCGUUGUCCGGAAUUAUUGGGCGUAAAGAGCUCGUAGGCGGUGUGUCGCGUCGGCCGUGAAAACCCGCAGCUUAACUGUGGGCUUGCAGCUGAUACGGGCGGGCUGGAGUUCGGUAGGGGAGACUGGAAUUCCUGGUGUAGCGGUGAAAUGCGCAGAUAUCAGGAGGAACACCGGUGGCGAAGGCGGGUCUCUGGGCCGAUACUGACGCUGAGGAGCGAAAGCGUGGGGAGCGAACAGG